Durio zibethinus is the source of this 1531-nucleotide non-coding RNA. The record is from RefSeq and is a predicted model, not a curated record. Lineage: Eukaryota; Viridiplantae; Streptophyta; Magnoliopsida; Malvales; Malvaceae.
UACCGGCUACUUCCGGUGGCUUCCACAUAAAAUGAAAAAAAAAAAAAUCGCCCUAUUCUCUCAUCUUCGACGACACGCCUCUCCUUUUCGCCCGCCGUGUUCGCUUAUCUCUUCCUAAUAAUUAAUUUUCAAAUAAAUAAAAAUUAGAAAGACAAAAAAAACCCACAACCAUAUUAGGAUUCCGAUUUUGAUUCCUCAAUCCUCUUCAUAUCUAUAUAUAAAGAAACCAAUCAAAACAAAUUCGGGUUCGGGUUUUUAAUAUUAAUAAUAAUUAGAAAAAAAAGCAGAGAGAGAGAGAGAGAGAGAUGGGGCGUUACGGCGCGGAUGAGGCGGUGAUAGCGUACAACACAUCCAAUUGGUGGCGAGACAUUAACGAUUCUCCGCUGUGGCAAGAUCGCAUUUUUCACAUUCUCGCCGGGCUUUACGGUCUCGUCGCCGCCGUAGCUCUCGUUCAAUUGAUUAGGAUACAAUUGAGAGUUCCCGAGUAUGGUUGGACCACACAGAAGGUCUUCCAUUUUCUAAACUUUCUGGUUAAUGGGGUUCGCGUGGUAGUGUUUGUUUUUCGUAGGAAUGUGCAGAAGUUACAUCCAGAGAUUGUUCAACAUAUCUUGCUUGACAUGCCAAGCCUAGCUUUCUUCACGACAUAUGCGCUUUUGGUUUUGUUUUGGGCUGAGAUCUACUACCAGGCACGUGCUGUAUCAACUGAUGGACUGAGGCCAAGUUUCUUUACUAUUAAUGCGGUGGUUUAUUCUAUUCAGGUGAAAUUUGUGUUCUAUUAUUUCAGUAUAAGUGCCCUCGAAAAGGAGAAUUUGGAGUUGGUUCUUUCCAUUUGGAAGCUAGUCAUGUUUCAUUGCAAUGUGGCUGGUAUUAUGGUGGAAGUAUAUCCCAGUUUUGGUCAUCCUAUCCAAGAUGUUUUUUGCAGGUGUGUCAUUGUUUGCAGCCCUUGGGUUUUUACUAUAUGGUGGAAGGCUUUUCUUAAUGUUGCAGCGGUUCCCUGUAGAGUCCAAAGGGCGGCGGAAGAAGCUGCAAGAAGUUGGUUAUGUGACAACCAUAUGUUUCUCAUGUUUCAUGGUCAGAUGCAUUAUGGUAGAUCACUUAUUUCCUUUCUGGCUUUACUAACCUUAUAUAUUUCAAGUUGACAAUUUUACAAGCAUGUUUUGUUACAAAAAUGAAUGUACGUUGUAGCACUUUUGUGCAGCUUUUAGAUGCAUAUAAUUUUGUAGCACUUUUGUUGCAAAAUGAAAGUAUUUUAGUUGAACCCUUUAGCUGCUAGUUGCUAGUUGCUUUAGAUUAUUGAUCUAAUUGAUCAAUUAUCUUACUGAAAUUUCAGAUCUUUGGCUUUGCCCAUUUAUGAUGCUAUUUGUCCUAAGGUUUUCUAAUUUGAGCUCUAUUGUAAUUUUUUGUUCUAGGUGUGCUUUAAUGCAUUUGACAAAGCUGCUGACCUUGAUGUUUUGAACCAUCCAGUUCUAAACUUCAUAUAUUACCUGUUGGUGGAGAUAUUACCUUCAACUUUGGUCCUUUUCAUUUUGAG